UUGGUUCCCCGAUGCUGCGGCCCCGCAGCAAGUGACCGCCGCCACUGUCGUCCAGUCGGGGGCCUCUAGCAAAAAGCUCCAGGGCCCUUGCUGUGCCUGCGGUCCGACUGGCCUUUCCGCGACCGACCUGAACUUGACAAGACUUCACGCUACUGGUGAAUCCGAUGGCACCUCACUCACGGAAACCAUGGACUGUCUCCUGCCACCGCGCGCAGUAGGCCUGGGGUUACCGUUUCUCUGGCGGAGUCAAGGAGCACACGUUUCCCGAGCAGUUGCAGUGUAGUGCUAACUUGAAACGUAGAUGCAAAUAACGCUCCGAACACCUGAGCCUUGAAAUCCCAGAGCAGGGCUGCCUUUGAUACUCCCAGAGCCUGAGGUCGGCCCCACGCCCUGUUGUGACACCUUCAGAAGCACUACGCCUGCAACACGCUCCUCCUCAGGAAUGACCUCUGAGCAGCAAAAUGUUUACCUUCCUGCAGUUGUAAAAAUCCCUGUGGGCAUUGUUCUUCAGCUCCUUUAACUCCUCCAUCUCAUUGAGCAUCUCAUGGACCUGGAACUUGGAGGAGAGGAACUUCAGGCGCCGGGUGAAGGUGGAUUUGUACAGACUAUGCCCAGGUGGAGUGCUGCUCAGCAACUCAGACACCUUCAUGCGACAGGUAGAGCAACACACUUGGUUCAUCAGAC
This is a long non-coding RNA of Molossus molossus (Pallas's mastiff bat), 684 nucleotides long. RefSeq lists it as uncharacterized. The record is from RefSeq and is a predicted model, not a curated record. NCBI's taxonomy places the organism in Eukaryota, Metazoa, Chordata, Mammalia, Chiroptera, Molossidae. The transcript has 3 exons.